CUCAAAAGUUCAAGAUAUAUCUACUUUUAAUAAAGAUGUCAUUGAAGAGGCUGCUAGAUGUAUUUUGAUAUCAGUUGAUCAGCAAGAAAGUGUUCAAAUUAGUAGAGCAAUUGAUUCGUCUCUGUCAGUUAUUCUUAAAUGUCAUAUUGGUACUGGAGGUUUGGAAUUUGUGCAAACUUAGGUACAGCCAAAUGAUAUUAUCUGUUCAGAUCCAUAAAUUGACUCUGAUUGAUGUUCAGUGGUGUGUGUGAGCAGUGUUUUGUUAGAUAUCCAGCCUCUAAAUAACUCUUCAAAUGAUGCUUUAAAUGAAGACCGGUUUGCCCCAAAGUAAACCAUCUGUUUCAGGAUUCAGAAAAGACUCAUUCAAUUCCCAAUGCAAAGCAAAUUCCCUUCUCUUAUUGAGCUUAGCGGUCUUCAAAUGUGCGAAAUUCAUUUGCUUAUCUCUCAAAGGAAUUGAUAAUUAUUGUUUGCAGUGAAAUUUCUUGUGAUUCAAUGAAGAUUUUAUCUUGGAAUGCUAGAGGUUUGGGGGAUGCCUAAAAAAGAACUAGUUUGAAGAAAUUUAAGCAUAAUGUUUGCUCGGAUGUUGUCCUCAUACAUGAAACAAAGACGGGGUCUUUCAACCAAAGUUUCAUUAAGUCAAUGUGGAGCUCUAAUGAGGUCAACUGAGUGCAUAUUGAAUCUUUUGGUAGAUCUGGAGGUAUGCUUAUUAUGUGGGAUGAAAGCUAGGGAAGGUCUUGGAAGUUCUUAAAGGAGGAUACACACUGUCACUCGGAAUAUCUUUUCAAAAUGAGAAGAGGUGUUGGAUCUCAAAUGUGUGGACCUAAUGAUUAUCGGGAAAGGAAGCAUUUGUAGCGUGAAUGGAGUUCUUUUUAUACAUAUUGUGACAUUCCUUGGUGUAGGGUGCGGACUUAAAUAUUACAUGUUGGAUCCAUGAGAGUGUACCAGGUGGAAGAUAAACUAAAGGAGUCUAAGGAACUGUAGUUUGCAAGGACCAAUUCCUAAUCUGAGCAGGAUAAAGAACCUGGGUUAUCUGGAUCUAAGUAACAAUCAACUAAGUGGAUUCAUACCACGAGACAAGUUUUCUGAGAAUAUUACUACCAUCAUUUUAUCAGACAAUCGUCUUACUGGCACCAUACCAUCCAGUCUUUCGGAUCUACCACUUCUUCAGAAAUUGUGAGUGAAUUUUUUUCACCAAUUCUUUGUUGUUGGGUGGUGGUGCUGGAUUUAGCUUGAUAGCGUAUAUCAUGUUUGUACAUUUCCGAGAAGACAAACCUAAUGUUAUAGGGAACCUAAUUAUAGAGAGAAUGACAGAAAAAUGUUACAAAAGUCAAACAUAAAUGACAACUUUUACAUAUGGAAUUAGACCUGCAUAAUGAUGUAUGGUUGUCAUUUUUUUGGUAUGAGUUGGUUUUUUUUUAAAUAAACAUGAAACUUUUCAUUAAUAUAAUGAAAAAGAUUAAUUCUCAAAGGAUACGACAUUCAUAAGGGAGGGUAGACAACAAUUAAAGAACAGUAUAGAAAAACUACAAUGGAAAGAUAAAAGUAUUCCAAUUAAGGCAUAAAUCCUGAAUAGAGCAUGCAGCAAAAAUUGAGAAAGUGAGCGAAGCUUUGAGAUGAGCCAAGUCAUAACAACGAUCUAACCAAGAAAGUUGCUUGUUAUGAAAAUGGCUAGACAAUUAGGUUAGCUUACCCUGCAACGACCCAGUUUGAAUGACCAGCAACAAAAGUAUGAGACAGAAACCAGUACAGGGAAGAGAGGCAGGAACAACUUGCUCCUUCAGCAAGAUUACCUCAGGAACAAAGAAGGCUCCAUUUCGACACUGGCAGGAAUUUUAUCCCUUACCAACACCAGCAUCAAAAACCAGCUUUUGGAUGACAUACAAUCCAAGAACCUGUCUCUUCAAGUGAGGGAGAAUACUACCCCCAACAUUAAGGAAAUUUUCAACCUUGAGAUGCAGAAUUCCAACAAAACUGACGACAGGGUGAAAAAUUUCAUCAACACCACCAACAAGAAAACCAAGACUAUCGGAUGGAGAUCGACCUCUCUAGUUAUAAUGGAAAAUGGAUAUUGAAGGCAUUCUUGAUUAGAUAAAUUUUUUUAGAACAUAUUCGAUUAUGAAUACU
Non-coding RNA from Cucurbita pepo subsp. pepo (vegetable marrow), 2124 nucleotides. The record is from RefSeq and is a predicted model, not a curated record. Lineage: Eukaryota; Viridiplantae; Streptophyta; Magnoliopsida; Cucurbitales; Cucurbitaceae.